This is a non-coding RNA of Cricetulus griseus (Chinese hamster), 7059 nucleotides long. Lineage: Eukaryota; Metazoa; Chordata; Mammalia; Rodentia; Cricetidae. The record is from RefSeq and is a predicted model, not a curated record.
UCAGGGCUUAAAAAUGUAUUUUAAUUUUACCUCAAAAAUAGUCCUUGGAUUUAUAUUGGAAGUUACUAUAUAUUCAGUUUCUGAAUUUGAAUUAGUUUUGGUCUUUAUAUUUCUUUUCUAUUUUCCAUUAUUCUUUGUUAGCACAGAGGGUUUAUUAACACCUUAUUUGUAUUCAAAAUGUUAUUUGUUCUGUUUUCUUACAAAUUAAGUCCAGAAAAGUUGACUGACUGUUGAAAUGAUCUUUUUUUCUCACUGUUUUCGAAGGUUUUGAAUGUUUUAAUUUUAAUGAGCUUCUCAUGAUUAUAUCCUCAUUUAUAAUUACACAUUUUCUCAUUAUGAAGUUAUUAUUAUUAGCCUUCCUCCACUUCAAGUCUGCUUUAUGCAAUACUUGUUGUGCUUUCUGUUUGCAUUCAUCUGACUUCUAAAUUAUAUCUUUAUUAUCUUAAACUUUAUGUGACAUUUCACAUGUCUCUGUCUUUUAUAAGGAGAAACCACUGGAUUCUGUUUAAAAAUUGAACCCAGUUUAUUUUCCACAAGGUCAUUUCUGUUUAUCCAUGCACAUUUUAUAGUCCCCUUGCCACCUUGGUUAAUGGUGGGUUUAUAAGGGCUUCAUGUUGUUUUAAAUCUAAACUUUUGUGGAACACCAUUUUAUUGACUACAACACCCAUCCACCCACCGUCUACAUCCAAAUCUGCUGUUUUCCAAGGAAAGCCAUGAGUGGGAGGAACAGUUCAGAGAGGCCUAGCUAACGGUUCCUUAGACCUAUUUGGCUAUAAAACUCAAAGAAAGUAGCACGUUAAAGGAACACUCGUGUAGGUGUGAUGUGCAUUUAGGUUAAAAUAGACAGGAAUACAAAGGUUUUCUGAUGGAUUCAUUGUCAGAAAUGACCACAUUUGAUUCAUCUUUUAAUGGGCAAGAAUUGAGCAAUAUGAGUGGUAUCCUUUAAGAAAUAUAUGUAAAAGAGGCCAUACCCAUCCCAAAUCAUCAGUUUUUCAUGGCAUGUUAGAGAUUCGUGAAUCAUGAAUCUCUCAUGAGACCAUUAGGCAUUUUAAUAUGGGGUGUGCCAGCUCUCCACCUCUUUUGACCAGAGCCUCAUGAAUCAUAUGGUAUAACAAUAAGGAUCAUGUAUGUACACACACACACACACACACACACACACACACACACUUUAUGCAUAUCUCUGAAAUUAUACCCUGGAUAUUGUAUUUUCAUUUUUAAAAUGUUUUUCCUUUCCCUCACUAAUUAUUCAGAGCAAUUAUCUGUAGAUUAGUUUUCACAGAACAUGAUGGUGGGGAGCCUCUCUUAGGCAGUUUAAUUGAAAAGUAGGAGAUGCUUGCUCUGGAGAUGUGGUCAUAAUAAACUGAGUUCAGAGACUGAAAUUAAGACCUGCCUCCUGUCUUAAGGAGUUGAGGGUCUCUUAUUUAAUGCACUCAAUUUCUUCAUCUAGAUUGAAUAGGUCAGCAAACAUGUAUGGAGCUCUUUUUACACAGAAAUCUUCAUAUGAAGUCACAAAACAAUAAGGUUACAUCAGGUGCCAUUAUAGGGACAGUAGUUAUGGACUAGAGAACAUUAUGUGUUUGGACCUUUAAUCCUGCAUGUACCCACAGGGUAUAUGGUAUAUGGAGGCAGCAUCCCAUGAAGUCCAGAUGAUAUGACCACUGUUAGGACAACAGGCUCCACUCUUAAGAAUAUAUCUUCAUCAUUAUUUCAAGAGGUGCAGUGUACUUAAAGUGUUAUUUCAGUGCCUGCUUCUUCAGGGACAGUGAGUCCCCUUUGGCAACUAGCAUACAGCAAGGAACCAGAGAAAAGUACUUCCUGGAGUGAUGGUACUAAGAUUAGUCUUGAUUCUCAAUUUGGUUAGAACUGGGCAUGGUGCUUUACUGAAGCAGGACAAUUUCCAGGAAUUUGAGGACAGCCUGGUUGACUGAGUGACGUCCUGUCUCAGAAAGCCAAAUGACAGUAACAACAGAAAAACAAAUGGAAGGUCACUUGAUUUGGUUGAGAGACACGUUGGCGAUCAGUGAAGCACACAGUCAGGGCUGUCUGUGAGGAUUUCCUUAGAGUGGUUGCAUCAAGAUGGCUCUGACUCCAUCAGUGGGUUUGUCCAUGUGAUGGAUUCAAAAUCUGAAUAGACUAUUAGAGGUGAAGGAGUUGUGCAAGGUAGGUGUAGUAAGAGGAAGCGAGUCUCUUGGGGAUGUGCUUUUAAAGGGUGUGUUUGGGUCUGGCUCAUUCUUAUUACUUUUUCUGUUUCCUGGCCACUGUGCAGAAAGCAGCCUUUUCCCAUACAGUCGGUGGAUCCAGCUGAUCUUGCAAUGAAAUCUAUAAAGUCACUCACCCAAAUAAACCCCUCCUCUUCUAAGUUGAUGAUGCUAGGGUUUCUUGCCACAGUGAUGAUAAGGUGACUAAUAUACACGACGAUCCUGAUUCUUAUGCAUUGCAAAGCUUAGAUUUCUUUCUUGAUUAAAACAGCAAUAAUUACAAAAUGCAUAGCAACAAUAAAAAGUCACAAUGAAGAAUUGCAAAUAUAGUUAAUUUUUAGUGCUAAAUAAGGUAAAGUUGAGCUCACCCUUACAAAUUUGUGUCAGAUUGGUCCCUGAUGAUAUGCAUCAUGUAGACCCUGACAUUUAGAGAGGCCUGAAUUUAGUUGGAUGAACUAUAAAGAUGGGAGUAAGGGCACAAGGCAAGGAGCUCCCAAAGUGCUAGACAGAAUCAACAAGCAUUCUCGGAGCAUUUUCUAUGAUCUCCAUUGUGCUAUAGGUUGGAGAAUUUAAAAGAAGGAGAUGCUUUGGUUUGCAAAGAAUUUACCAUUUGUCGAGGAUGCUAGAGCUUAUUGAGGGCCUACUAUGUGUCAGUUCUGUGGGGUAUAUUUUCCAAUUCAUUUGUUCUCUUCAUUCUUCUAACCACACAGUUAAAAAGAAAGGGGGAUGAGAAGGGAGUCUGGCCCACCUUUGCUUUCCCCUUCUGGUGGCAAGGAGGUUUCUGACUAUAUCAACAGUUGGGGUUGGGAGUGAAGUUACUAUCAACUGAUCCUCAAGAAGGUAAAUUGUAGCAGACCGUUGAUAUUUAGAAACAACAUCCCAUUUGUAGUUCACUGAAUUCCCAUUUACAGAUGGAGAAACUGAGCCCCAGUAGAUCCAGGACUCACCCAUACAUUCUCACUGCUUCAAAAUCAGUAUGACACUGCUUAAAAUGGGACACAUCCCUCCUUCCAUGUUCCCGCAUGGUAGUGAUGUGACCCCAUGUUUGUCUGUAUAGGGGAAGCCAUGCCCCCAUCUUUACUGUCAUCUUUUGAAGAUCCUGUAACCUGAUCUUCUCUAGAAAUCGUUCCUACUCCCUAGCACAGGCAUGUCUACCACAUCCAGAGCCUAGGGUCUCAGACUUUUCCUACUCUAGUAGCAUGACUUGGAGAAAGUCACUCAGCACUCAAGUCCGGACAACCAACACAAGCAUGGUGGUACCUGGCCUUUCAUCAUUGCUUGAUCACCAGCUGGCCCUGUUCUUUGGACUUCUUUGUCUGUGAAAUGAAGCACAACUACACUUGUAGUUGUGGGUGGGUGGGGUGAGAAAAGGUAUACAAAAAAAUACCUGCCAUGAGUUACUAACUGUGCUGCAUUUCUCCCAUUUUAGGCAGCCAGACUUUCAGAGAACACUGGGAAUGUUCCAGAAACAGUGGGACUGAGUGUCUCUUUGUUUAAUUCCUCCCACCCUAUUCUGCUUCAUUCUGGAUGUAUUUGUCUCUUAUCUUCAUCAUAGACUUAAUAUUGAUCGGGCAAAACAGAGAGUAAAACCAUAAAAAGAACUCUGAGAGGCAGUUGGGCCUUGGUAGGGAGAGGUGGGUAGGACCAUUCUGUUUGUACAGGUGCAUUGUAAUGCUGCCUGCGGUGUGAACAUUUUCCACUUCAUUACUCCUGGCUCUGGCCCAGGUCCUGUCUGUUCCCCUGGCCCCUGUCUUGGUUUAAUUUCAGCCGUCCCUGGCCUUUGGAAGAAGCUGUAAUAGAAAGGAAAACAAAUGAGGUCGCCACAAACAUUUUUUCUUUCUUUCUUUUUUUUUUUUUUUUCACAUUUGACCAGGCCUAGCCGAUGGUAUGCUUGUGAAGCAGAAAGAAAGCCAGUUGGCUAGGGCUUUUGGUGCCCCCAUCAAAGGAACUUGUUCCCCAAGGGCUUCUGUCUGCUGAGCCUGAUCCCUCUAGAUGGGGUUGACUCUGCUUUAAUGUGUAAGAAUGAGCCUAAACAGAUACCCAUGGGUCCCAGGGUGGCAUAGUCUACAAGAGUUAGUCGAUUUGAAUAAGUAAGAGCUAACAUUUACUAUGCAUACACUGUGUGCCAGAUGCUAUUCUAAAUAUUUUAAAGAAUUUUAGACUGACUAGUGGUAUCCUGCUGUUAUUCUUACAGAUGGGGAAACUGAGUCACAGAGAAUAAUUUUUUAAUAAUAUCCACAUUUUGCCCUUGAUAUCUGCAUGCUGAGUGUGUGCUGUUCUUUCUUCUGAUGUAGCACAUAGUAGGUGCUUACAUUUUGAUGAUGAAAAAAAAAAAUCUCAGGGUAUCCAUCAUACAUCCUGGGGAUGGCAUGACUUGGAUUAAUUUCAUCCCUGGAUUAGAUGGAAUCAUAAGUUGACAGAGUCCUGUGAUCAUUAGAUUCUAUAGUUCCACUGCAUAUCCAGAUUCUGCUGACAUAUCUCCAAUGAUGGAAGCUCACUCCUUCGUGGGCUUCCUAGCCCAUUGUGUGACACUGUAAUUCAAAGAUAGUAGUGGUCUCUCAAUGUGAGGAAUGAAGCACCCCCCAUCAUGCUGGUUAACUAUCUUGGCAAGGUGCCUAGUGCAUGGUGAGUACUAAAUCCAUCCUCAAGAUUUCCUGAAUUCCCCCUUGUCUUUCACACAUUGAAAAGAAGAGAAAGAAUUUGUUUAUUGCUCAACUGGCUGAAAGAUGUUUUUACAAAAUAUUGUUGAGUUCAUUCCUCAUUUGAGAAGAAAGAGAUUCAGUAGAGUAAAAGGGUUCAGAUGAUGCCUUCUUUCUUAUUAGUUCUUCUUCCUUUCCCAAGUGUUUGGGAUGACACAUUUGCUAAACACCAACCUCAGAAAGGAAUGAAACACAUUCCCUAUCAGAGGGGAGUGCCUAUGAACUGUGGGACCUCAACAUACAAAUUACCUACAAGUAGAGGAGUGUGUGCUGAAGAGGGGGAUCCAGCAUUAGGGGAAGUGACAAGUGACAUUCAUGGAAAUAGUCUCUAAGGUCCAUUGGGCAAUAUUUUUGCUACCUUCUCAUGAGCUUUUUCUAUGCAACUGAAAGAAGUGAUUGCACUUGAAGCAGUGUAAAAUUGCCCCCAGAUAUAUGGUUUUAUUAAUCCAGCAGAGAAUGCCACUGAAGCCACUUGCCAGCUCUGAAGUUUGAGUUCCCAGUCCCCACCCUAAACUGUCACUGCCUGAACCAGCUGCCUUGCUCCUUUGUUAAAAUGUCCCCUUGUGCUUGGCUGCAGGAUGGGACUUUCUAGGGUUUCUCCCUAGCUUAACAAGCCCCUUCUUCGUGGCCUUUUGGCUGGGUUCCUUCCUCUUAUACCCUCAUCCACUGGAGUUGGCCAUGUCCUGCUGUUCUUUUCUGCCCCCACUUUCUUUCCUGGGAAUUUUAAACCAGCAGCAUGUGGCUGACAAAUGACCAAUAUAUGUCAACCACUUUCUGUCUUCUCUGUUUUCUCCAUGGACUCUUCAACAUGUAUCUCCAGUGUCACAUAUUUGCCUCCUGAGUCGUCUGGAAAUGGCUGUUUUCCUCUGAUCUUAGCCUGUCCUUGGUUCCUCUUGCCCUCACUAGUACCUUCCAUCCAUCAGAGGAUCCCAAUUCCUCUUCCUGAGAAAGGUCUGAGUCAUGCUACUUACUGCCCCGGACUCCAUCCCUUUCAGAGCUGCCUCUAUUCACAAGAAUGAACCCUCCCACUCCUUCUCUGCUGCCCUUCAGCCUGCUCCCACGAGGGCUGGUUGGUUCCCAGAGCCUUGUAAAAUCCAGCCUUCAUUUCUAGGAGGUUCUCAUGGGCUAGGCUGGUCUUGGUUUUGUUUUCUCUCUGUCCCCAGCGCUCUCUGUUCUAAACAUGCUGAGCUUCUGGCUGUUCCUCUAUAAGCCACCACCUUCCCCUCUCAACUUGGCAUCCAUGUCACUAGCUCCUCAUUUCUGUCAGAUCUUGGGCAAAGAUUUUCCAGAUGACUGGAAACAAAGCAGUGUUUGGCAUCACUGUUUUCCCACUCCAACUUGCCCCUACAGAGAUUAUUGUGUUUGUAACACAGUAUGUAUUUGUGUGCGUAUAAUCUGCUUCUUACCCUUACAGCUUAAGCUUUAUAACACAGACUUCUUAUUUGCCCAAGUGUCUAGAACAAUACUGGCACUUAGCAGAUGCCCAAAGAAAUAUUGGCCUGAAAGAGUGAGUUGGAAAAUGUAUUUGACUCUCAGCUCUGCCUGCCAUUCCCUGUGAUUCAGGCCAGCCCCGUACCAAGAACCUCUACAUCCUCAAUCUUCAUUGGAAACAACCAUGUUUGCCAUUCCAACAGAUAGUGAAGAAAGCCAAGUGAGGUGCCCAUGGAGGCCAGAAGAAGACAGUGGAUCCUCUGAACCUGGAGUUAAAGGCCUGAUGAACUACCCAUAAGUUGAAAACAUGUUGAAGAUUGCAGAGCAACACAUGAAGAGGAGUCUGGGCCUCUGCUACCAGAGAGUGCUGUUUCAACCCAGGAUCACUUCCUGUUAGGCUUCUGUGUGUUGAGAGAACAAAACCUCAUGAUCAUGAUGAGCUUUCUGCCAUAGACAGUGGACCAUUUUCUCAGAAUGCCACUUGUUAUACUUUGGAUGUGAUCUUGUCCCUGAACUCAUGUGUUCCAUACUUGGUUCCCAGAGUGGUGAGCUUGGUAGGUGGUAUGAACCCUUAAAGAGGUGGGGUCUAGCAGGAGGUGUUUAGAUCAGUAAGGGCACUGCUUAACAGUUUUCAUGGGACUCAGCUUAGUUUCCACAAGAGGAAUUGUUAAAAGAGCAGACAUGGCUGUCAAGUUCCUCAACAUUCUUUUUUAAAAUUAAUUAAUGUGCAA